Molecule: ribosomal RNA, 833 nt
Filed under: Arthrobacter sp.
Lineage: Bacteria; Bacillati; Actinomycetota; Actinomycetes; Micrococcales; Micrococcaceae
Description: bacterial SSU rRNA
Rfam family: Bacterial small subunit ribosomal RNA
Source: RNAcentral
CGAUGAUCCGGUGCUUGCACCGGGGAUUAGUGGCGAACGGGUGAGUAACACGUGAGUAACCUGCCCUUAACUCUGGGAUAAGCCUGGGAAACUGGGUCUAAUACCGGAUAUGACUGAUCAUCGCAUGGUGGUUGGUGGAAAGCUUUUUGUGGUUUUGGAUGGACUCGCGGCCUAUCAGCUUGUUGGUGAGGUAAUGGCUUACCAAGGCGACGACGGGUAGCCGGCCUGAGAGGGUGACCGGCCACACUGGGACUGAGACACGGCCCAGACUCCUACGGGAGGCAGCAGUGGGGAAUAUUGCACAAUGGGCGCAAGCCUGAUGCAGCGACGCCGCGUGAGGGAUGACGGCCUUCGGGUUGUAAACCUCUUUCAGUAGGGAAGAAGCGAAAGUGACGGUACCUGCAGAAGAAGCGCCGGCUAACUACGUGCCAGCAGCCGCGGUAAUACGUAGGGCGCAAGCGUUAUCCGGAAUUAUUGGGCGUAAAGAGCUCGUAGGCGGUUUGUCGCGUCUGCCGUGAAAGUCCGGGGCUCAACUCCGGAUCUGCGGUGGGUACGGGCAGACUAGAGUGAUGUAGGGGAGACUGGAAUUCCUGGUGUAGCGGUGAAAUGCGCAGAUAUCAGGAGGAACACCGAUGGCGAAGGCAGGUCUCUGGGCAUUAACUGACGCUGAGGAGCGAAAGCAUGGGGAGCGAACAGGAUUAGAUACCCUGGUAGUCCAUGCCGUAAACGUUGGGCACUAGGUGUGGGGGACAUUCCACGUUUUCCGCGCCGUACUAACGCAUUAAGUGCCCCGCCUGGGGAGUACGGCCGCAAGGCUAAAACUCAAAGGAAUU